GACGAACGCUGGCGGCGUGCCUAAUACAUGCAAGUAGAACGCACAGUUUAUACCGUAGCUUGCUACACCAUAGACUGUGAGUUGCGAACGGGUGAGUAACGCGUAGGUAACCUGCCUGGUAGCGGGGGAUAACUAUUGGAAACGAUAGCUAAUACCGCAUAAUAUUAAUUAUUGCAUGAUAAUUAAUUGAAAGGUGCAAUUGCACCACUACCAGAUGGACCUGCGUUGUAUUAGCUAGUAGGUGAGGUAACGGCUCACCUAGGCGACGAUACAUAGCCGACCUGAGAGGGUGAUCGGCCACACUGGGACUGAAACACGGCCCAGACUCCUACGGGAGGCAGCAGUAGGGAAUCUUCGGCAAUGGACGAAAGUCUGACCGAGCAACGCCGCGUGAGUGAAGAAGGUUUUCGGAUCGUAAAGCUCUGUUGUAAGAGAAGAACGGGUGUGAGAGUGGAAAGUUCACACUGUGACGGUAGCUUACCAGAAAGGGACGGCUAACUACGUG
Molecule: ribosomal RNA, 505 nt
Filed under: uncultured bacterium
Lineage: Bacteria
Description: partial 16S ribosomal RNA
Rfam family: Bacterial small subunit ribosomal RNA
Source: RNAcentral